This 377-nucleotide ribosomal RNA is filed under the name uncultured bacterium. RNAcentral's name for it is "partial 16S ribosomal RNA". It matches the Rfam family "Bacterial small subunit ribosomal RNA", at positions 338 to 732 of the family's 1533-position model. The record is from RNAcentral.
CCUACGGGCGGCAGCAGUGAGGAAUAUUGCACAAUGGGCGAAAGCCUGAUGCAGCGACGCCGCGUGAGUGAAGACGUAUUUCGGUAUUUAAAGCUCUAUCUGCAGGGAAGAAAAUGACGCUACCUGACUAAGAAGCCCCGGCUAACUACGUACCAGCACCCGCUGUAAUACGGAGGGGGCAAGCGUUAUCCGGAUUUAGUGGGUGUAAAGGGGGCGUAGACGGCGAAGCAAGUCUGAAGUGAAAACCCAGGGCUCAACCCUGGGACUGCUUUGGAAACUGUUUUGCUAGAGUGUCGGAGAGGUAAGUGGAAUGCCUGGUGUAGCGGUGAAAUGCGUAGAUAUUAGGAGGAACACCAGUGGCGAAGGCGGCAUACCGG